GGUACCGUCAAUGCAGAUACCUAUUGGAUAUCUACAAUUUCUUCCCUGUCGACAGAGCUUUACGACCCAAGGGCCUUCUUCACUCACGCGGCGUUGCUGCGUCAGGGUUUCCCCCAUUGCGCAAAAUUCCUCA
Molecule: ribosomal RNA, 133 nt
Filed under: uncultured bacterium
Lineage: Bacteria
Description: partial 16S ribosomal RNA
Source: RNAcentral